Chiroxiphia lanceolata (lance-tailed manakin) is the source of this 409-nucleotide long non-coding RNA. RefSeq lists it as uncharacterized. The transcript is spliced from 3 exons. The record is from RefSeq and is a predicted model, not a curated record. NCBI's taxonomy places the organism in Eukaryota, Metazoa, Chordata, Aves, Passeriformes, Pipridae.
UUCUGUGUCUCCACCUCAGCUGCUGUUCCGCCCUUUCCCUGGCACUGUGACAUCCCUGCACGUGGAGGCAGUGUAGCAAAGGGCAGCAUUCCCAUCAUCUGCUCAGCUUUACAGUCCCUGCCCUUUACCCUCCCACAUGGGCACGGUGUGAGGAUAAUGGAGACACACAAUUCUGCCUUCUUGCUCCAGAACCCGCAGGUCUGCUAAAGCUCCCGGACCAUCAGGUGGAGUUGUGGUUACAAACCAGGACCCCCAGUUUGGAAGACUAAACAGUGAGUGGUGCCUGGACGUAAAAUCAUUUGGGACUGCACAGAAGAGGGAUAGAAGGAGAAGCCGAGAAAAAUGAGAUAAGGAACACAGAGACAAGGAUAGCAAUGUGGAUCAUUCCAGCAGCAAGAUUAAUAAUGAA